GCUUGUCUCAAAGAUUAAGCCAUGCAUGUCUAAGUAUAAAUAACUCUAUACUGUGAAACUGCGAAUGGCUCAUUAUAUCAGUUAUAGUUUAUUUGAUAGUCCCUACUACUUGGAUAACCGUAGUAACUCUAGAGCUAAUACAUGCGCAAAUUCCCGACUGCUUCACGGCGGAAAGGAUGUAUUUAUUAGAUCCAACCAGCCCGGGCACCCGGGCAACCGGAGUCCCUGGUGAGUCAUGAUAACUGAGCGAAUCGCAUGGCCUUGCGCCGGCGAUGGUUCAUUCAAGUUUCUGCCCUAUCAGCUUUCGAUGGUAGGGUAUUGGCCUACCAUGGCGUUAACGGGUAACGGAGAAUUAGGGUUCGAUUCCGGAGAGGGAGCCUGAGAAACGGCUACCACAUCCAAGGAAGGCAGCAGG
This 415-nucleotide ribosomal RNA is filed under the name uncultured Bicosoecida. RNAcentral's name for it is "partial small subunit ribosomal RNA". It matches the Rfam family "Eukaryotic small subunit ribosomal RNA", at positions 30 to 432 of the family's 1831-position model. Lineage: Eukaryota; Bigyra; Bicosoecida. The record is from RNAcentral.